UACAGAGGGGGCAAGCGUUGUUCGGAAUUACUGGGCGUAAAGGGCGCGUAGGCGGCCUGUUAAGUCGAACGUGAAAUCCCCGGGCUCAACCCGGGAACUGCGUCCGAUACUGGCAGGCUUGAAUCCGGGAGAGGGAUGCGGAAUUCCAGGUGUAGCGGUGAAAUGCGUAGAGAUCCGGAGGAACACCAGUGGCGAAGGCGACACGCUGGGCCGUACCUGACGCUAAAGCGCGACAGCAUGGGGAGCAAACGGG
Molecule: ribosomal RNA, 253 nt
Filed under: uncultured bacterium
Lineage: Bacteria
Description: partial 16S ribosomal RNA
Rfam family: Bacterial small subunit ribosomal RNA
Source: RNAcentral